This is a transfer RNA of Camelus ferus (Wild Bactrian camel), 72 nucleotides long. It matches the Rfam family "tRNA". From Rfam's summary of the family: Transfer RNA (tRNA) molecules are approximately 80 nucleotides in length. Their secondary structure includes four short double-helical elements and three loops (D, anti-codon, and T loops). Further hydrogen bonds mediate the characteristic L-shaped molecular structure. tRNAs have two regions of fundamental functional importance: the anti-codon, which is responsible for specific mRNA codon recognition, and the 3' end, to which the tRNAs corresponding amino acid is attached (by aminoacyl-tRNA synthetases). tRNAs cope with the degeneracy of the genetic code in two manners: having more than one tRNA (with a specific anti-codon) for a particular amino acid; and 'wobble' base-pairing, i.e. permitting non-standard base-pairing at the 3rd anti-codon position. The record is from Rfam. Lineage: Eukaryota; Metazoa; Chordata; Mammalia; Artiodactyla; Camelidae.
AAGGGUAUAGCUCAGUGGUAGAGAAUGUGCUUAGCACACAUGAGGUCCUGGGUUCAAUCCCCAGUACCUCCA